UACGGAGGGUGCAAGCGUUGUCCGGAUUUAUUGGGUUUAAAGGGUGCGUAGGCGGCCUUGUAAGUCAGUGGUGAAAGCCUCCAGCUCAACUGGAGAACUGCCAUUGAUACUGCAAGGCUUGAGUACAGACGAGGUUGGCCGAAUUGAUUGUGUAGCGGUGAAAUGCAUAGAUACAAUCAAGAACUCCGAUUGCGUAGGCAGCUAACUAGGCUGUAACUGACGCUGAGGCACGAAAGCGUGGGGAGCGAACAGG
This 253-nucleotide ribosomal RNA is filed under the name uncultured bacterium. RNAcentral describes it as "partial 16S ribosomal RNA". It matches the Rfam family "Bacterial small subunit ribosomal RNA", at positions 524 to 776 of the family's 1533-position model. The record is from RNAcentral.